ACCUUAGACCCAACAGGGUAUUGAGCUGGCAACGUCCCAUAGGUUCACUUCACGACCUUGACGACGGUCAAUAGGAAGAGCGGCAACGUCGGUUGUAAUAUGUCAAAUCAUAAAUAAGGCUUCUAUCAAAUACUCAUAACAAUGGAGGUACACGAGUGUACUUUGUUUACCGUUGUUUACUUUUCUUGACGUAAGUGAAGACGCUAUUUCAAGAAAUUUGAAGUGCUAAUUCAUUAAAAUAUGUACGCUUUCAUGACUGUGCCUCAACUUAAAGUUGAGGUUCGUAAUAUAAAUGCGACAAUGGCCGGAAAAAAGGCUAAUUUGAUAGAAAGAUUGCAAUCUAAUGACCGGAAUAAAAAUUUUGGUGUUGACUGCGAGAUCCAAGAGGAGAUCGCAUAUCUGAGUCCAGCCACUGAUACUUUCAGAGACAUAAUUGCGGACACUUCUUUACCAAUGAUUACGAGACAAGCAAUACAGGAAUAUUUUGAAAGUUAUGUACCCAUAUGUAAUGAUUAUAAUCUUAGGCAGUUGUUUACAAAGAUGACAGUGUAAAUUUUAUGUAUUUAAAUUGAUAUAAUACUCAGCAUAAAGGACAACUCCUGUACGAAUUUCGACAUCUUGUGACUGCCCGCUAUUCCACAGAUGGCAUUUAUACCCACUAGAGGAGACAAUGUAAAGCCAGUAUGAAAAAAAUGGUAUACUUUGUGGAUAUAAAAUUAAGUAAAGAUGGAGUAAUUGAAGAAUGCCAUUGCGAUUGUGCUGCAGGCAGUGGUACUCAAGCAUGUUGCAAACAUGUCUCUGUAUUGUUGGAUGGUACACAAAAAAAAUAUUAAAUUGCAUCUGUCAAGUACUCAAAAAUUAAUGACAUUCAAUAGACCAAGAAAGUAUUUUAUAAUUCACCCAUUGCAGUUCAAAAUUUACCCAACAAGAGAUUGACAUCUUUUUACUUAUAACACACUAAAAGAUACUUACUGAUAUUAUGGACAGUUAUGCUGAUUAUGUGAAAAUUUUAGUAAUGGGAUAUGAUGAAAGCUCAAUACCUUUAUUACAGACAUGUGAACCCGCAAAUCCACAUGGCAUUGAAUGGGAUCGUUACACCUAUGUAGAUAGGACUCCAAUAGAUAUUUUACUAGAGAAGCUAUUAUUAAAAAUAUUAUAUCUGAACAAAUUCAGGAAGUGAGAAGAAUACAAGAGCCCAAAGUGAUUCCUCUGAGUGGCAUGAAAGAUCAUGCAGGAUUACUGCCAGUAUGUUUCAUUUAGUGUGCCACAGUAAAGCAUAUAAGUACCAAAAAUAUAUGUAAUCGAUAUGAUUUUGGCCCUAAAGCUGUGCAGACUAUGUUAGUUGUGCAUAGUAAAAUCCAAGAAACUAUUUCCAUUGCCAAAUAUGAUAGAGAUUAUGGACUAAAAAUAAAAAAAGUGGAUUCAUUAUAUCAUUUGAAUAUCCUUUUCUGGCUGUUUCUCCAGACGGUAUAUUGGGUAAAGAUACUAUUGUUGAGGUUAAGUGUCCAUAUGCUGCUAGAUAUUAUAAAAUAACCUCUGUGACUG
Molecule: long non-coding RNA, 1545 nt
Organism: Manduca sexta (tobacco hornworm)
Lineage: Eukaryota; Metazoa; Arthropoda; Insecta; Lepidoptera; Sphingidae
Exons: 3
Source: RefSeq, a predicted model, not a curated record